GAUGAAGAACGUAGCGAAAUGCGAUACGUAAUGUGAAUUGCAGAAUUCAGUGAAUCAUCGAAUCUUUGAACGCAUAUUGCGCUCUCUGGUAUUCCGGAGAGCAUGCUUGUUUGAGUAUCAGUAAACACCUCAACUUCCAUAUCUUUUUUGAAAUGGGAGUUGGACUUGAGUGAUCCCAACGCUUUUCCUCACCGAAAAGUGGCGGGUUACUUGAAAUGCAGGUGCAGCUGGACUUUUCUCUGAGCUAUAAGCAUAUCUAUUUAGUCUGCCUAAAAAACAGAUUAUUCCUUUGCUGCAGCUAACAUAAAGGAGAUUAGUUCUUGUGCUGACUGAUGCAGGAUUCACAAAGACAGGCUUCGGCCGACUUUGUAAACUCGAUCUCAAAUCAAGUAAGACUACCCGCUGAACUUAAGCAUAUCAAUAAGCGGAGGA
Molecule: unclassified non-coding RNA, 432 nt
Filed under: soil metagenome
Description: partial contains 5.8S ribosomal RNA, internal transcribed spacer 2, and large subunit ribosomal RNA
Rfam family: 5.8S ribosomal RNA (bases 1-120)
Source: RNAcentral